This 522-nucleotide ribosomal RNA is filed under the name uncultured haloarchaeon. RNAcentral describes it as "bacterial SSU rRNA". It matches the Rfam family "Archaeal small subunit ribosomal RNA", at positions 1 to 526 of the family's 1478-position model. The record is from RNAcentral. Lineage: Archaea; Methanobacteriati; Methanobacteriota; Halobacteria; Halobacteriales; Halobacteriaceae.
AUUCCGGUUGAUCCUGCCGGAGGACAUUGCUAUUGGGAUUCGAUUUAGCCAUGCUAUUCGGGCGAGUUCAGACUCGCGGCGAAUAGCUCAGUAACACGUGGCCAAGCUCCCCUUCAGUCAGCGAUACCCUCGGGAAACUGAGGUUAACAGCUGAUACAAAACGCCAGCUGGAAUGCGGCGUUUCAGAAAGACAUCGCUGAAGGAUGCGGCUGCGGCCGAUUAGGUAGACGGUGGGGUAACGGCCCACCGUGCCAGUAAUCGGUACGGGUGAUGAGAGUCAGAGCCCGGAGACGGAAUCUGAGACAAGAUUCCGGGCCCUACGGGGCGCAGCAGGCGCGAAACCUUUACACUGCACGGAAGUGCGAUAGGGGAAUCCCAAGUGCGAGGGCAUAUUAGCCCUCGCUUUUCUCGACUGUAAGGUGGUCGACGAAUAAGAGCUGGGCAAGACCGGUGCCAGCCGCCGCGGUAAUACCGGCAGCUCAAGUGAUGUCCCAUAUUAUUGGGCCUAAAGCGUCCGUAGCU